UACGAAGGGUGCAAACGUUGCUCGGAAUUAUUGGGCGUAAAGCGCACGUAGGCAGCAUUGCAAGUCGGGAUGUGAAAUCCCUCGGCUUAACCAAGGAAGUGCAUCCGAAACUGCAGUGCUUGAGUACUUAAGAGGAUCGCGGAAUUCCCGGUGUAGAGGUGAAAUUCGUAGAUAUCGGGAGGAACACCAGUGGCGAAGGCGGCGUCUGGGAAGAUACUGACGCUGAGGUGCGAAAGCGUGGGGAGCAAACAGG
RNAcentral lists this ribosomal RNA (253 nucleotides) under uncultured bacterium. Its description in RNAcentral is "partial 16S ribosomal RNA". It matches the Rfam family "Bacterial small subunit ribosomal RNA", at positions 524 to 776 of the family's 1533-position model. The record is from RNAcentral.